RNAcentral lists this ribosomal RNA (534 nucleotides) under uncultured bacterium. RNAcentral's name for it is "bacterial SSU rRNA". It matches the Rfam family "Bacterial small subunit ribosomal RNA", at positions 47 to 507 of the family's 1533-position model. The record is from RNAcentral.
CUUAACACAUGCAAGUCGAACGCUCCUGGAGGUUAGAAGUUAGAGGUUAGAAGUUAGAUUAAGAAGGAAAUCGCCUGCAGGCGAUUUCCAACACAAUCCAACAUCUAAUUUCCAACUUCUAACUUCCGGUGAGAGUGGCGGACGGGUGAGUAACGCGUGGAUAACCUGCCUAUCUGACUGGGACAACACCUGGAAACGGGUGCUAAUACCGGAUACGCUCACAAGUUCACAAGAGCAGGUGAGGAAAAGGGGAAACCCGCAGACAGAUGGGUCCGCGUCCCAUUAGCUAGUUGGAGGUGUAAAGGACCCCCAAGGCGACGAUGGGUAGCCGGCCUGAGAGGGUGAACGGCCACACUGGAACUGAGACACGGUCCAGACUCCUACGGGAGGCAGCAGUGGGGAAUCUUCCGCAAUGGGCGCAAGCCUGACGGAGCAACGCCGCGUGAGUGAAGAAGGCCUUCGGGUUGUAAAACUCUGUCUUCAGGGAAGAAAAAAAUGACGGUACCUGAGGAGGAAGCCCCGGCUAACUACGUG